Molecule: transfer RNA, 65 nt
Filed under: Euphyllura phillyreae
Lineage: Eukaryota; Metazoa; Arthropoda; Insecta; Hemiptera; Liviidae
Description: tRNA-Pro
Source: RNAcentral
UCAGUAGGUAGUUUAAAUAAAAAUGUUAGUUUUGGAGACUAAUGAUAAAUUUAUCUUUUCUUCUG